CUUGCUUCUCUUGAGAGCGGCGGACGGGUGAGUAAUGCCUAGGAAUCUGCCUGGUAGUGGGGGAUAACGUUCGGAAACGGACGCUAAUACCGCAUACGUCCUACGGGAGAAAGCAGGGGACCUUCGGGCCUUGCGCUAUCAGAUGAGCCUAGGUCGGAUUAGCUAGUUGGUGGGGUAAUGGCUCACCAAGGCGACGAUCCGUAACUGGUCUGAGAGGAUGAUCAGUCACACUGGAACUGAGACACGGUCCAGACUCCUACGGGAGGCAGCAGUGGGGAAUAUUGGACAAUGGGCGAAAGCCUGAUCCAGCCAUGCCGCGUGUGUGAAGAAGGUCUUCGGAUUGUAAAGCACUUUAAGUUGGGAGGAAGGGUUGUAGAUUAAUACUCUGCAAUUUUGACGUUACCGACAGAAUAAGCACCGGCUAACUCUGUGCCAGCAGCCGCGGUAAUACAGAGGGUGCAAGCGUUAAUCGGAAUUACUGGGCGUAAAGCGCGCGUAGGUGGUUUGUUAAGUUGGAUGUGAAAUCCCCGGGCUCAACCUGGGAACUGCAUUCAAAACUGACUGACUAGAGUAUGGUAGAGGGUGGUGGA
This 590-nucleotide ribosomal RNA is filed under the name uncultured bacterium. RNAcentral describes it as "bacterial SSU rRNA". It matches the Rfam family "Bacterial small subunit ribosomal RNA", at positions 79 to 665 of the family's 1533-position model. The record is from RNAcentral.